Molecule: ribosomal RNA, 253 nt
Filed under: uncultured bacterium
Lineage: Bacteria
Description: partial 16S ribosomal RNA
Rfam family: Bacterial small subunit ribosomal RNA
Source: RNAcentral
UACGGGGGGGGCAAGCGUUGUUCGGAAUUACUGGGCGUAAAGGGCUCGUAGGCGGCCAACUAAGUCAGACGUGAAAUCCCUCGGCUUAACCGGGGAACUGCAUCUGAUACUGGAUGGCUUGAGUUCGGGAGAGGGAUGCGGAAUUCCAGGUGUAGCGGUGAAAUGCGUAGAUAUCUGGAGGAACACCGGUGGCGAAGGCGGCAUCCUGGACCAAUACUGACGCUGAGGAGCGAAAGCCAGGGGAGCAAACGGG